GACGAACGCUGGCGGCGUGCUUAACACAUGCAAGUCGAACGAUGAAGCCCUUCGGGGUGGAUUAGUGGCGAACGGGUGAGUAACACGUGGGCAAUCUGCCCUGCACUCUGGGACAAGCCCUGGAAACGGGGUCUAAUACCGGAUAUGACACCGGGAGGCAUCUCCUCGGUGUGGAAAGCUCCGGCGGUGCAGGAUGAGCCCGCGGCCUAUCAGCUUGUUGGUGAGGUAGUGGCUCACCAAGGCGACGACGGGUAGCCGGCCUGAGAGGGCGACCGGCCACACUGGGACUGAGACACGGCCCAGACUCCUACGGGAGGCAGCAGUGGGGAAUAUUGCACAAUGGGCGAAAGCCUGAUGCAGCGACGCCGCGUGAGGGAUGACGGCCUUCGGGUUGUAAACCUCUGUCAGCAGGGAAGAAGCGAAAGUGACGGUACCUGCAGAAGAAGCGCCGGCUAACUACGUGCCAGCAGCCGCGGUAAUACGUAGGGCGCGAGCGUUGUCCGGAAUUAUUGGGCGUAAAGAGCUUGUAGGCGGCUUGUCACGUCGGGUGUGAAAGACCGGGGCUUAACUCCGGUUCUGCAUUCGAUACGGGCUAGCUAGAGUUCGGUAGGGGAGAUCGGAAUUCCUGGU
RNAcentral lists this ribosomal RNA (630 nucleotides) under uncultured Streptomyces sp. RNAcentral's name for it is "bacterial SSU rRNA". It matches the Rfam family "Bacterial small subunit ribosomal RNA", at positions 28 to 674 of the family's 1533-position model. Lineage: Bacteria; Bacillati; Actinomycetota; Actinomycetes; Kitasatosporales; Streptomycetaceae. The record is from RNAcentral.